UAAAUAAAAGGACAUACACACCUAUAUAUUCCAGACAGGGGCCUCGUAUGGGCCCAUGAAGAUAUGCUGGGCACCAAGGCACAUGAUUAACUCAAUUGUUGGGAAAAUUUUUUAAAUGGGUGGAGCAGAAUGUGUGCUACAUAUAUGUACACAAACAUGCACACACACAUGCACAGUUGUUUUUUUUUUUCCUUCAUCGAACUAGCCCAUUGAUGGCACAUAAUAGCCCUGAGAAAUAGUAACUGAGUAAUUGACUGAAACACCCUCCUACCCCUCUGUCUCAGUGGAGAUGCUUUUCUAUUCUCUCUACAGAAUAAGUUCCGUAGAGAGAAUAGACUCUAUUGGCUGGAAUUUGAAAACUGUUUCACGCACACAACGUCCUUAUAACAGAUACACACGCUCUCAACUAGGCCAACUGACUUGCCUCCAGAACUUAUUGCCUGUAGCCUCCUUCCAAAACACAUGUGUAGGGUUCAGGGAAAGAAAUUUUCAGAGUAGUGCACGGCAUCUAGUCCUCAGCAUUCCAUCAUUUUAUGAGCAAUAGCUUCAAGCCUCUUUUGCAAACGGUCUUCUGCAACCAUCCUUUCCUUACAGAGCCUUUGUUAUUCAGACAUUUAAACUAUGUAAUGGUCUCAGGUGAGGGGCAGGUAGAUAGAUGGGAGAUUGGUAGUUCUCAAACUCAAGCAUGUAUCAGAAUCACCUAGAGACCUUAUUUAAUGCAGGUUAGUGGGCCCUAUUCCAAGACUGUCAAUCAGUAGACCUGAGGCACGGCCUGAGAAUUUCCUUUUCUAACAAGUUCCCCACAGAUGUUGAUGCUGUGGGUAUAGGGGUCCCAUACUUUGAGACCCACGAGAUAGACUUAGAAAUAGGAUGCUGCCUCCACUGAUUUAUUUCCCUUUCAUUGUAUACUGUAAUGCACUGGUUGUGCAUCUAAGAAUCAUCCGCAAGGCUUAUUAAAACACAAAUCCCUGGGCCUCAACCUCAAAGAUUUGGAUUCACUAGAGCCGGGUGGAACCAAAAAUCUGAGCUUCUAACAAACUCCCAGAUGAUACAGAUGCGGCUGGAUCCAGGUCCAGAGAUCGUUGCACAGGUUCUUACUCUUGGUUAGAUCAGGAUCCUCUGAUUCUGAUGCCAGGCCCUACCUCAGGCCAAUUAAGCCAGCAAUGGGCCUGGGCACAGGUAAUUUUUUUAAAGCUCCUGGGGUGAUUCUAACAUGCAGCUGGGGCAGGAAAACAACGGUGCUGCCUAUUUCUUGGACCCCAACUGUUUCUAAUUUGAGUCACUCUUCAGCACUCCGUUAAACCCCAGUCCCCAUCCUCAGUUCCCAGGUGGGUUUGCAUAAGGGGUAGUAGACCUGCCAGGAGAUGCAGUGAGAAGCACUGAGCACUGAGGCAGGAGGAGCACAGACAGCACAGAGAAUCCUCUAAAGUGAAGUUUCUCUCUUUCUCACUGUUGUUGGGGACUCACCCUGCACCACAAAGAAGACUAGAUAAAGAAAACCACUAACCAGUAACAUCCGGCUCAGUAGGCUGAGCACAAAAGCAAGGUUUUGCUUUGGCCCUAGACCUAGAAGCCUGCUGAGUGAGCGCCUUGGCCCUAGAAAAGAGGAGCAGGGGGUUGUCCGGAGCCCCUCCGACCACGCUGCUCUCAGUCAGGCACCACAGACACAGGCAGAGCUGGCUAGAGGUCAGAGGCAUGGCCCCAGUGAGAAGCAGCAGCUGUGCCCUGUGAGCAGGAAUCCUCCUGUGUUUGGCAUCUCUUACACGAUGGAUGAGUGAACGGAGGAAAUGAGAAAGGUGGUGUGGCUCUAAUGGACAAGAAAGUUCAGAAGCCAAGUUGAGUAGGAAAUGGGUGUCACAUUGGGAUUGAGGAAAGGCAUAAUAACAGUUCUUAUGUCCUCUUACGUAUAUUUGAUGAACUGCCUCAAAAUCUUUCUGGAAAGAGAGGUCCAUUAGGAAUGGAGAGAGCUAUUGGAUCCUGACUUCAUCAUCCGGUACCUUCCGGCCCAGAUGGGACUGUGCAUCCAGGGAGAAGUUUGUCCCCUUAUUCAAGCCAGGAGGAAGGUUCCAUUUGGAAACCCCCAAGGUAAACCAGUGCUGAUUGAGAGGGGCUGACAUCAGAAUGGGGGCACCUCUACAUGUUCGGCACGGUGCUUUGAAGAUGUCAUCCCUCAUCACAACUUUAUAAAGGAAGAAAAGUUACCCCACUUUACACUGAGGAAUCUGAGGCUCAGAAACUG
This 2239-nucleotide long non-coding RNA is filed under the name Homo sapiens (human). RNAcentral's name for it is "HSALNT0394161". The record is from RNAcentral. Lineage: Eukaryota; Metazoa; Chordata; Mammalia; Primates; Hominidae.